This 429-nucleotide ribosomal RNA is filed under the name Gemmatimonadota bacterium. RNAcentral's name for it is "Gemmatimonadetes bacterium partial 16S ribosomal RNA". It matches the Rfam family "Bacterial small subunit ribosomal RNA", at positions 355 to 776 of the family's 1533-position model. The record is from RNAcentral. Lineage: Bacteria; Pseudomonadati; Gemmatimonadota.
UAGGGAAUCUUCGGCAAUGGACGAAAGUCUGACCGAGCAACGCCGCGUGAGUGAAGAAGGUUUUCGGAUCGUAAAACUCUGUUGUUAGAGAAGAACAAGGACGUUAGUAACUGAACGUCCCCUGACGGUAUCUAACCAGAAAGCCACGGCUAACUACGUGCCAGCAGCCGCGGUAAUACGUAGGUGGCAAGCGUUGUCCGGAUUUAUUGGGCGUAAAGCGAGCGCAGGCGGUUUCUUAAGUCUGAUGUGAAAGCCCCCGUCUCAACCGGGGAGGGUCAUUGGAAACUGGGAGACUUGAGUGAAGAAGAGGAGAGUGGAAUUCCAUGUGUAGCGGUGAAAUGCGUAGAUAUAUGGAGGAACACCAGUGGCGAAGGCGGCUCUCUGGUCUGUAACUGACGCUGAGGCUCGAAAGCGUGGGGAGCAAACAGG